Molecule: ribosomal RNA, 492 nt
Filed under: uncultured bacterium
Lineage: Bacteria
Description: partial 16S ribosomal RNA
Rfam family: Bacterial small subunit ribosomal RNA
Source: RNAcentral
AGUGAACGCUGGCGGUAGGCCUAACACAUGCAAGUCGAACGGCAGCACAGUAAGAGCUUGCUCUUACGGGUGGCGAGUGGCGGACGGGUGAGGCAUACAUCGGAAUCUACUUUUUCGUGGGGGAUAACGUAGGGAAACUUACGCUAAUACCGCAUACGACCUACGGGUGAAAGCAGGGGAUCUUCGGACCUUUCGCGAUUGAAUGAGCCGAUUUCGGAUUAGCUAGUUGGCGGGGUAAAGGCCCACCAAGGCGACGAUCCGUAGCUGGUCUGAGAGGAUGAUCAGCCACACUGGAACUGAGACACGGUCCAGACUCCUACGGGAGGCAGCAGUGGGGAAUAUUGGACAAUGGGCGCAAGCCUGAUCCAGCCAUACCGCGUGGGUGAAGAAGGCCUUCGGGUUGUAAAGCCCUUUUGUUGGGAAAGAAAAGCAGCAGGUUAAUACCCCGCUGUUCUGACGGUACCCAAAGAAUAAGCACCGGCUAACUUCGUG